GUGCAGCAGGCGAGAAACCUUUACAAUGCCUGAAGGGUGAUAAGGGCAUCCUGAGUGCUCCAGCAUUGCUGGGGCUUUUCCGGAGUGUAAAAAGCUCCGGGAAUAAGUGGUGGGUAAGACGGGUGCCAGCCAUUUACAUGUCUUACAAUUAAAACUCUAAGUUUCAAAGGCAUGUAAACUGGAAGCCGCGGUAAUACCCGCGCCACAAGUGGUGAUCACGGUUAUUGGGUCUAGAGCGUUCGUAGCCGGCCUAAUAAAUUCUUGGUGAAAUCCCGUGUAAAACAUGGGAAGAGCUAAGAACACUAUUAGGCUAGGGACCAGGAGAGGCUGAGGGUACUCCAAGGGUAGGGGUUAAAUACUGAAAG
This 365-nucleotide ribosomal RNA is filed under the name uncultured microorganism. RNAcentral's name for it is "bacterial SSU rRNA". It matches the Rfam family "Archaeal small subunit ribosomal RNA", at positions 330 to 646 of the family's 1478-position model. The record is from RNAcentral.